GACGAACGCUGGCGGCGUGCCUAAUACAUGCAAGUCGAGCGGACCUUUGAAGAGCUUGCUCUUUGAGGUUAGCGGCGGACGGGUGAGUAACACGUGGGCAACCUGCCUGUAAGCUUGGGAUAACUCCGGGAAACCGGUGCUAAUACCGAAUACAACAGAGGACCGCAUGGUCCUUUGUGAAAAGACCUUGUGUCACUUAAAGAUGGGCCCGCGGCGCAUUAGCUUGUUGGUGGGGUAACGGCCUACCAAGGCGACGAUGCGUAGCCGACCUGAGAGGGUGAUCGGCCACACUGGGACUGAGACACGGCCCAGACUCCUACGGGAGGCAGCAGUAGGGAAUCUUCCACAAUGGACGAAAGUCUGACGGAGCAACGCCGCGUGAGCGAUGAAGGUUUUCGGAUCGUAAAGCUCUGUUGUUAGGGAAGAACCGCCGGGACAACCUCCCGGUCUGACGGUACCUAACGAGAAAGCCCCGGCUAACUACGUGCCAGCCGCCGCUGUAA
RNAcentral lists this ribosomal RNA (503 nucleotides) under uncultured bacterium. Its description in RNAcentral is "partial 16S ribosomal RNA". It matches the Rfam family "Bacterial small subunit ribosomal RNA", at positions 28 to 523 of the family's 1533-position model. The record is from RNAcentral.